Molecule: ribosomal RNA, 578 nt
Filed under: uncultured bacterium
Lineage: Bacteria
Description: bacterial SSU rRNA
Rfam family: Bacterial small subunit ribosomal RNA
Source: RNAcentral
CCUACGGGAGGCAGCAGUAAGGAAUAUUGGUCAAUGGACGAAAGUCUGAACCAGCCAUGCCGCGUGAAGGAUGAAGGCCCUCUGGGUUGUAAACUUCUUUUAUCUGGGACGAAAAAAGGGUAUUCUUACCCACUUGACGGUACCAGAGGAAUAAGCACCGGCUAACUCCGUGCCAGCAGCCGCGGUAAUACGGAGGGUGCAAGCGUUAUCCGGAUUCACUGGGUUUAAAGGGAGCGUAGGUGGGCUGAUAAGUCAGUGGUGAAAUCUCCGGGCUUAACCCGGAAACUGCCAUUGAUACUAUUAGUCUUGAAUUAUCUGGAGGUAAGCGGAAUAUGUCAUGUAGCGGUGAAAUGCUUAGAUAUGACAUAGAACACCAAUUGCGAAGGCAGCUUGCUACGGAUUGAUUGACACUGAGGCUCGAAAGCGUGGGGAUCAAACAGGAUUAGAUACCCUGGUAGUCCACGCCCUAAACGAUGGAUACUCGACAUCAGCGAUACACUGUUGGUGUCUGAGCGAAAGCAUAAGUAUCCACCUGGGAAGUAACGACCGCAAGGUUGAAACUUCAAAGGAAUUGACGG